RNAcentral lists this ribosomal RNA (467 nucleotides) under uncultured bacterium. RNAcentral's name for it is "partial 16S ribosomal RNA". It matches the Rfam family "Bacterial small subunit ribosomal RNA", at positions 28 to 507 of the family's 1533-position model. The record is from RNAcentral.
GACGAACGCUGGCGGCGUGCCUAACACAUGCAAGUCGAACGGAAAGGUCUCUUUCGGGGGGUACCCGAGUCGCGAACGGGUGAGUAACACGUGAGUAACCUGCCCUUCACUUUGGGAGAACUUCAGGAAACUGGGGCUAAUACCGGAUAGGAGCUCCUGCGGCAUGGUGGGGGUUGGAAAGGUUCGGCGUUUGGGGUUGGGCUCGCGGCUUCUCAGCUUGUUGGUGGGGUAGUGGCUUACCACGGCUUUGACGGGUAGCCGGCCUGGGUGGGUGACCGGCCACAUUGGGACUGAGAUACGGCCCAGACUCCUACGGGAGGCAGCAGUGGGGAAUAUUACUCAAUGGGUGGAGGCCUGAUGCAGCACCGCCGUGUGCGCGAUGACGGCCUUGGGGUUGUAAUCCGCAUUCGCUCAUGACGGAGCUUUGUGUGACGGUAGUGGGUAAAGAAGCACCGGCUAACUCCGUG